Molecule: long non-coding RNA, 33651 nt
Filed under: Olea europaea (common olive)
Lineage: Eukaryota; Viridiplantae; Streptophyta; Magnoliopsida; Lamiales; Oleaceae
Description: long non-coding RNA (OEUR_LNC008926)
Source: RNAcentral
UGUUCAGCUUGCAGAAUAAUUUCUUCAGAAGAGAAACACAAGAAAGACCGAACACGUGGACCAAAUGGUUUUGAAGAGAUAUAACUCCAAACACGGGAAUGAAUGCAAAGGCGACGAUACGAUUCCAAGUAAGGAUUGGAAGACGAAUAGGUAACUUGAUCAAACCGUUUAAUUUCUUGGAAGAAGUUUUCCUCUGCAGCUUGAUUCUUGCAGAACACGUGUAGCAUGUCAUGAACAUGGCAUGUUUUAACUUUUCCAUUUGACCUCCGUUCUCCAACCAUGACUAAAUUCCUGUUGACAAGAUCGUCUAAGUACUCCUCUGCAAUAUCCUCCAAGCUCAUUCCCUCCUUUUGUUGUAUGAAUCCUUCAGCGAUCCAGAGACGAACCAAUUUCCACACUGGGAUUUGGCAAUCUUCUGGAAACAUCCCGAAGUAGAGAAAGCAUGCUCUCAAGUAAUAAGGUAAGUGAUUAAAACUCAAAGUUAUAAAACUGUCCAUACGUUUCUCCUGAUCCAUGGCAAUAUACGCAUCCACACUUUGAGCAACCUUUUCCCACCAAUAACUUUCAGUACCUUUUUCCAAUAGAAUUCCUCCAAUCACCACUAGUGCGAGCGGUAGUCCGCCACAUUCUCUGGCUAUAAGCCUUCCAGGUUGUAUCAACUCCUUAGGGCAUUCCUCUGCACCAAGUGCCUUUCUUUGGAGUAAUAUCCAACUUUCAUCAGAAUUUAGAAAACGCAAAUUAUGGGGCUCCCUGUUGGGGUUGGCAUGCACAGCCACUCUCCUGAUACGACUAGUCAGUAAUAUUUUGCUUCGCUUCUUAUUUCUGGGAAAAGCAAUUUUGAGAUCAUUCCAGGCAUCUUCAGUCCAGACAUCAUCCAUGACAAUUAAAUACUUCCCUUUCUCCAGGAAUUCACGAAGUUCCUUAGCUAUUUUUUCAUCAUUCAUCUUAUACAUCUCAUCACUUGGCUUAGCAAAAUGACUCCAAAUAUUGAGAAACACUUCCUUUCUAUUAUAUUCUUGAGAAACAUAAACCCAUGCUCGGUUAUAGAAUUCAUAUUCAAUUUUAGGAUCACGAUAUAUCAUUUUUGCCAGUGUUGUCUUUCCAAGGCCAGGCAUGCCAAUAAUUGAUAUAACUUCGAGUUCAUCAGGUCCUCCCAUGAGUAGAUUAGUAACAGUUUUUGCCUCAUCUUCAAAUCCCACCACAUUGUCUUCCUCUACAAUGGGAGCCUAUAUUAUAGUGAAAAAUGUUUAUUUCAGAAUCACAAAUAAUUAAAGAAUUGAUUUAAGGUUGUUCAUCUAAUUCUACUCAAUAUCUGAAAUAUCUAAAAGAUGAGUUCCUACCUUUUAGCUGGUGUCAUUUGAGAAUUUCAGAAAGUUCUCAGUUAUACAUUUCGGAAAAAUUUUACGCACUAGACUACAAAUAAGUUUCAAUAGUAUGCAAGAUAAUAGCAAGAAAACUCCUGCCUGCAGAACUUGUUAUCUUGGACUUCUACUUCGUACAACAGAAUUCAGAAUCACAUUAAGGAAUAUGAUUCAUGUCCAUACUUAGCGAUGGAGCAUGUAAAAAGAUAAGUUUUAUGUACAUUCAGAAAAAAGAAACUUGGAAAUCCUAACAAUUGUUUGACAUACCAGUUUAGUAAUAAAAAGGAAAGUUUUUUAUGGUGCACCAAUUUUGAAGAAUUAAUUCAAUCUGGAUCUUCAUAUAAAAUUUUGCUCCUUGAGUUCUCAAUGGUAGUACAAUUAUGAAGCCAGGAGAGUAACUAGAUUAAAAAAUGUUUUACCUGUGAAGGAAGCAUUUUUGAGCUCGAAGGAAUGGAGGUCAUUGAUCUGGAGGAUAAACGGAGAGCUUAAAUACAAUGCCUUUGUUGCCUUGCUUCUCAGCCUCAUCUUUCAUCGUUUUCUUAUACUGCUGGAUUUUCCGGGCAGAAGCAGCAGCUGAUUUGGUGGUACAGUACAAGUCAAUUAUCUGGAGGCUUAAAACAUCUGCAAGGCUGACUGGGACUGCUUCGAGGCUAGUGCAGUGUUUAAGAUAAAGACUCCUGAGUCUUGGGAAGUGAUGAGUCAAAGCAUGCCAAUGAACUAAAUCUGUCCUUCCAAUAAACAAGACUUUGAGAGCACGGAAACCUCCAUCCUCCGGCUGCCACCACUCUCCCUUAAAUGCAUUGUCUUUCAACUUUAGGAUCUCAAGGCUUUCCAACAUUCCCAAUGUAGCCAUUUGACUCCAAUCAAGAAGGGUGUCUGCCAGUGUUAGUUUCUUUAGCUUUGGUGGAAAUUUAUACCUUUGGGGAAGGCCAGCUAGUUUGCCUUCCGAAGGAGGCAAAGGAAAUACAUCAUUUAAUAGCUUCAAAUUUUCAAGGUAAUCCAAUUUUCCCAGGCUAUCAAACAAACUCGACACACCUUUGGGUUCCAAAAGUUUAGCUAAUUUGCCACGAAUACCCAAUUUCUUUAGGUUUGGAGCUCUGGCAAAUACAUCUUCUGUACAACUUUCAGGUGAGAUUGUAGAAAUUGUUUUUAGGUUAGCAUUUAUCAGGGAAUCAUCUUUACUUUUUCUUGAUUUAGCAAGAGGACCAUGUAAAAAUGUGGAUGCAUUUGUUUUUAGAUGCCUCAGUUGUAUCAUCUUCCAUAUAUCUCCUUUGAUUUCAAGGGUUCGUUCUGAAGUCUCAACUAUAAGAGUUUGCAUGUUCCAAAGGCUAGAAAUGGGAGAAGGAAGGAUCUUGAAAUUGCUGGACAGAACAAGAUACCUCAAAUGAACGAGUUGAGCUAGAUCAGUAGGAAAACGAGUGAAAAAAAUGGGUUUAGCAUCUAAAACCCUGAGCAAUUUAAAUGCUCCAGGGAUGGAGGAAGUGUGUUCAGCUUGCAGAAUAAUUUCUUCAGAAGAGAAACACAAGAAAGACCGAACACGUGGACCAAAUGGUUUUGAAGAGAUAUAACUCCAAACACGGGAAUGAAUGCAAAGGCGACGAUACGAUUCCAAGUAAGGAUUGGAAGACGAAUAGGUAACUUGAUCAAACCGUUUAAUUUCUUGGAAGAAGUUUUCCUCUGCAGCUUGAUUCUUGCAGAACACGUGUAGCAUGUCAUGAACAUGGCAUGUUUUAACUUUUCCAUUUGACCUCCGUUCUCCAACCAUGACUAAAUUCCUGUUGACAAGAUCGUCUAAGUACUCCUCCGCAAUAUCCUCCAAGCUCAUUCCCUCCUUUUGUUGUAUGAAUCCUUCAGCGAUCCACAGGCGAACCAAUUUCCACACUGGGAUUUGGCAAUCUUCUGGAAACAUCCCGAAGUAGAGAAAGCAUGCUCUCAAGUAAUAAGGUAAGUGAUUAAAACUCAAAGUUAUAAAACUGUCCAUACGUUUCUCCUGAUCCAUGGCAAUAUAUGCAUCCACACUUUGAGCAACCUUAUCCCACCAAUAACUUUCAGUACCUUUUUCCAGUAGAAUUCCUCCAAUCACCACUAGAGCAAGUGGAAGUCCACCACAUUCUCUGGCUAUAUGCUUUCCAGGUUGUAACAACUCAUCAGGACAUUCCUCUCCGCCAAGUGCCUUCCUUUGGAGCAAUGUCCAACUCUCAUCCGAAGUUAGAAAACGCAAAUUAUGGGGCUCCCUGUUGGGGUUGGCAUGCACAGCCACUCUCCUGAUACGACUAGUCAGUAAUAUUUUGCUUCGCUUCUUAUUUCUGGGAAAAGCAAUUUUGAGAUCAUUCCAGGCAUCUUCAGUCCAGACAUCAUCCAUGACAAUUAAAUACUUCCCUUUCUCCAGGAAUUCACGAAGUUCCUUAGCUAUUUUUUCAUCAUUCAUCUUAUACAUCUCAUCACUUGGCUUAGCAAAAUGACUCCAAAUAUUGAGAAACACUUCCUUUCUAUUAUAUUCUUGAGAAACAUAAACCCAUGCUCGGUUAUAGAAUUCAUAUUCAAUUUUAGGAUCACGAUAUAUCAUUUUUGCCAGUGUUGUCUUUCCAAGGCCAGGCAUGCCAAUAAUUGAUAUAACUUCGAGUUCAUCAGGUCCUCCCAUGAGUAGAUUAGUAACAGUUUUUGCCUCAUCUUCAAAUCCCACCACAUUGUCUUCCUCUACAAUGGGAGCCUAUAUUAUAGUGAACAACAAUCAUAUCAGAAUUCCGAAAAACAAGGUGCCAAUAGAGAUCGGAAUGCAUUCAAGACUGUACAAAACAAGAUUAAUUGUAAACUCUUCACAAGAAAAUAUCUGCGAUGAAAUAUCUCUAUCCAUGUCUAUAAAUUAAUCUAUAACUAUUUCAUAAUCCUCUAACAAUAUUUAGUUCUGCAUUUCAUUCGACAAUAGACUAUGAAAGCCUGUCAAAGGCUCUGGGAUUAGUAACCAAAAAAUAAAAAUGAAAAUAAAAAUAAAAGGAAUCUAACAUUUAUAUGACAAAGGACAGUUAAUCAGAUCCUUCAAAAUUAGUGAUAAACCAAUCAAUCCUAGAAACAUCAAACACGAUUGAAGAUUGUAUUGACUUUUGGUCAACCCAAUUUUUGUUGUCAAUGAAGUAUCCAGUUUUCAUGAUUUUCACUAGUAGAGGCAAUACUAAAAAUACUAAUACCAAGAUCCACUCAAGAUUAAGUACCAGACAACAGAGAAAUUUUACAUAAUACCAACUUAUAAGCUAACCCAGCAAUAUAGCUCUAAAAUAACUUAUUUUAUUAGAGUAAUUACCUUUUUCUCUUUUGCUUUGGUAGAUCUUUCCCCAUCUUGCAGUGCCUCAAACCCAAACUUCUUGUUGUCAUAUAUAUCCUUGACCUUGGCCCUGAUGCCCUCAAUCUUUUUCGCCACACUUCGAAGCUUUGCUGGAUAAUCGAAUAUAUGAAAAGCCCUCUCGAUGCUACUCCUGGACUUGUGCACAGCUGCCUGAGCAACAAAUGUGUCCACAGUGUCUUCAGCUUCAUAAACUACAUCUCUGAUUUGUUUCACCAAUUCUUGAAGGGUGGCAUUCUUGUUCCGCUUCUCUGUCGAGUCCUUGAGGAAAGCUUUGAACAAACUCAAAUCAUUGUACAGAAAUUCCACCUGACCCUUCACGUCAAGAAUCAGAUUUGCAUUGUAAAGAAGCAGCUGUUUCAAGUUUUCCAGCAGAAAUUCUACAGCAGCAUCAGACAUUAUUUCGCCGAUUAAUUCUUGAUUAAAAGGAAAAUCUAACUAGAUGUUGUAGCUAUACAUGGUGUCAAGUGAAGAUGAUUUAAGCUUGAAGCUUGAAGAAAGAACUCAGAAAAAGCUUCGAUAUUUUCAGGAAAGUGCAGAGGAAAUUGCUUAAAGAAACGAAUUAUUGAUGCAACUUGACCAAGUCAUUGUAUAAUCUUUUAUUCUGAACCCCACCUGCCAACAUAUAAAUUAAAAGCAAAUGACAGAUAAGAAUUGGAAUAAUUUAAAUUAGAGGUGUGUCUUCAUUCGUUGAGUUGAAAGAAUUGUGAAAAGUCACGUGCCGGCCCACAUAAACGAGAGAUAAAGUAAAGUUUCCUCGAAAUUACUGGGAAGGUAAGUGGGAACGGUAACUCAUUCGAAACGUUAUUACCAAAAAAGAAUUAAAUAAAUAAAUAAAAAAUAAUGCGGAAUGACUCGCGACUUACCAUAUCAACCUCAGUCCCAACACAUGUGCCCCCCGUCACCCCCACCCCCAAAAACACCUACCACCCGGACUAGGAGUGAGCAACGGUGUGAAUAAUUCAUCAUUUUAUAUUUAUUGCUAAGAAGUCGCGCUUGUUUUGGUAAUCGAAGCAAUUUUAUAUUUUAUAUUUCGUAGUGUCAAUAUUUUUAUAUAAUAGUACCAUAAAACAUAGGUGCAAUCGAGGAUAAGUCUAACAGGUUAAACUGUGACAUUUAUUUCUUUAUUAAAAUAAUAAUUAUUUGAUCAUAGCACUAUAAAAAUAAGUAAAAAAGGUUGAUUCCCUCAAUAAAAAAAAAUAAUUAAUCGCAAGUGGAUAUUAUUUUAAUUGAUGUAAUUUCAUGACUUAAAACACUUGGUAUGUUUAAAAGACUUAGCCCCUAUUUGGUUCUUAUUAUUUCCUCAUUAAAAUAAAAAAUAUGAUUGUUAUUUAUCACAUCAAAUCACCAAAUUUGUAUUUCUAUAUUUUAUAUGGGGUCCGUAACGACUAUAUUUUUCAUUCUUAUUUUUCCAAAAAUGAGAAACAAACGGGGGUUAGUGAAAUCAAUACUAAACUCCUUUGCCAUCAAGCAACAAGAUUACUAUAUCAAUUUUGUUCUUCAUAUUCACAAAACUGAAAAGUUUGAAACAGUUUUAAUGGCCUGAAAUUUUGGUAAUGCAUGUUAAUCAAGGUUAAUAUUGUUCCCAUUCUGGAGAGGUCAUAUCGUCAAUGUACAAUAACUCGUUAUUAUUAUUAUUUUUUGCGUUCUAUGCCUUGAUUAGUAAAAGGGCUUUUUGAAAUGUAAGACAGUGGUCCAACCACCACAUAAGUUAACAUUGGGCAACUCCAACCACAACACCAUUGCACCAUUUUUUGGUGCAAAAUUGCUCCAACCUAACACCAAACUUUGCACCAUUUUGGUGCAAAAUGGUGCAAAGUGUAAAAUAUCCAUUUUGCCCUUAUUUAAAAUUUCUCAAAUAAAUUUGUUGAGGGUAUUUAUGUAAUUUGUGCUAUAUAUUUUUUAAUACAAUAAAUUAUUAUUAUUUUUUAUUAAUACUAAUAUUAUUUGUGUUUAAAAUAAAUUUAAAAUGUAAGACAUAAUAAUUAAUUAAUUAAUUAAUUAAAAGACGAAAACAAUUUAAAAUACAUCAAACAAGAUUAUUUAUUAAAGUUAACACGAAAUAUAUUAAAUAGCAAUUUAUGUUCUAUGUUUAUUAAUUGUUCUAUGUUUUUUAUAUUUAUUAAUGAAUUUAAUCUUUUCCGUAAUUUAACGUAAUUAUUUAUUAAGUAAUUUAUGUAUUUAUGAAAUAAUUAAAUAAAUAAUAUUUCAAAUAAGUAGAUUAUAAAGAAUAAAAAAGGGAAGAAAAUGGUUAAAUACUGUUCAUUUGGUGUAAUUUUUGAUGUAAUGGUUGGAUAUGAAUUUUAAUUUGGUACAAAAUUUGGUGUAAAAUGGUGCAAAAUUUGGUGCAGGGUUAGAGAUGGCCUUAGUCUAGAAGAGAAGCACGCUGUCUUUCUUUGAUCCAACUCGGAAGAAAGAGCUAUAAAAAUGAGAUAAUGUCAACAUUAACCUCACGAAAGUUUCUACUUUCUAUUAAAAUGAGAGAGAUUCAAAUUUACUUGGACACUUAUCGAUUGACUAAUGCACUUGUGUGUUCAAAUUGAUGAACGAGCAUAUAAUAUAUAGAGUAGAGCAAAAUGCAAAGGCCAAUGAAAGUGUAUUACUAUAUUUUACAUAAUUCUUCACAAGUUAGCCACGGUUGUAACAGCAUAGUAUAAUUACAACAUAAGUUGGUUGUACUUUAGAGUGAAUUACUUGUAAGUACUUAUUUUGCAAACAUGGUAAAGUUACAUUUUUUUAAGAUAAUUAUAUUACCAUCACAAUUUUUAUUUGUUACACCACGUUAGAAACAUACCACAAUUAAAACACAUUUUGAUAAAUACACGACAACCAAUUUACAAAUACAACAUAACCCAAUCAAAAUUAUAAAAAGGAAAAAUAUUUUAUUAUAUUUUAUAUUUCAGUAUCAAUAUUUUUAUAUAUUAGUACCAUUAAAAAUAGGUGCAACAAGGGACAAGUCUAACGCAUUAAAUUGUGCCAAUUAUUUAUUUAUUAAAAUAGUAAAUUAUUUGAUCAUAGUAACUAUGCUACACUAACAAAAUGGGGCAGACUCCUUGACCAAACACUUACAAUAGGGGUGGGAGCCAUUUUUUUUGAAAUUUUUUAUUCACGCAGGUCCCAACAACACGUGAGAGGAUGUCAAACCUCAUGUCACCAUUUUUUUGUCAAACUAGUUUAAUUCAUAAAAUGAACUAAAGGUUGAUUUCCUCAAUAAAAAAUUUUAAUCAUAAGCGGAUAUUAUUGUAAUUAAUAAAAUCUCAUGAGUUAAAAACUUGUAGUUUUUAAAAGACUUACUAAAAUCAAUAAUAAACGCAUCUGUGUCGACCACUACAUAAGACGACGUGAGUGUAGGAGACAAGUAAGCUACCUUUCUUUGAUCCAACUUCCAGGACAUGAAAGAAAGAAUUCUGAAGGAGAGAAUUUCCAGAUCAAUCUACACAUUUUUCAUUUUCUAUUAAAAGGAGAGAAUAACGCAUUUGGAUUGACUAGUCCACUUAUUUGUUCAGAUUAACAAAUGAGCAUAUAAUAUAUAGACUAGACCUAAAUGCAAAAGCUAAUGAAAAUGUAUUACUAGGUCUAUACUAUGUUACAUAAAUCUAGCCUUGGUAAUGUAACAUGUUUGGUUAUACUUAAAAGUAAAUUAAAUUUACUUCUAAGUUACUUAUUUUGCAAACACGAUUUGCAUGUUUACAUUUUUUACUCAUAAGACUAACUUUUCUAGAAAAUAAGUUAAGAUGUCUACCAUAAAAGUAACUUAUCAUCGACUCAUUUGUUUCCUCACUAAUGGUCAUGAUUUACUUAGUUACUGUAUUUAUCUAUAAAACAAUUUUGUCAAUUUGCAAUGAAGUUCUUGAAUAUGUCACUGAGCAUGACGAUGGAAUUUUAUAAUAGAAGAUAUCGAUUGCUGAUACCCUUUAGAGAAGAAUGUUUUCGUUGUUAUAACUACGUAUUCUCCUUUUUUUUUUUUUUUUUUUUUUUUUUUUUUUUUUUUUUCCUUUUUUUUUUUUUUUUUUUUUGGUAUUGUUCUGAACUUCAAUGCAAUUUUACACAUAAAAAACAGUGAGACUUAGCUUAAUAUGAUGAAAAAGAUAAUAGCAGUUGAACACAUUGAACAUAAUGAAAUGCAAGUUUUCAUUUUUCAACUUCAAGAUCAUUUUCCUUACUAACCACAAAAACAUAUCAGAAGUCUAACACAGACAGAAGGUAGAAAUGUAACAUACAAUAAACUGAAGUACAACAGAUUGUUUCAUUCCAACAAGAAGAAGAUUAGGAAGCAAAGCCAUGUCUCCGUGCAUCAAAAUUCCGUUUGGUCAACGUUCUUGGCACUGUUGCUUAUUGAAUUUUCUGCGCGUACAAAUAGUACAUAGAAUCAGUCGUAUAAAAAGAGAAUCACAAUUUAUAAAUAUUUGUUUUUUAGUCGAAUUAUCUGCCCGCAAAUCAUGGAUUAGAUCCUACUCUGAUCAAGUACAAAACAUAUGCUUCAGAUUUGAAGUUUAGAGCGAGUUUUUUAUAGGCUCUCAAACAAAAGAACGAUAUGAGUUCGUGUAAAAAUGGUUUUGUAUAUUGAUAUGUUCAAAGAGUAAUAUUACAAGGAAUUAUAUACAUAAGAUUUGUAUCUAUUCUAGGAAAAUGAAAUCAGUAAAAUGUAAUUAAUCUUCGAUAAUUUGUCUAAUUCCUUUAAUUUAUCAAUUAACAAUAUUGACAGAUUUGUAUCCGUUAAUACUCCCACUCAAGUUAAAGUGUGGAUGUCUAUCACACCUAACUUGCUGACAUGAGAAUGAAAAGUCGCUUGUCCCAAUGGUUUCGUAAAAAUGUCCGCAAUUUGUUGUCCGGUGUGUACAUGUGUGGUUCUAACUUCUCCUCUUUGUAUUCUUUUCUCGAACAGUAUAACAAUCCAAUUCUAUGUGCUUUGUACGCUCGUGGAAUAUUCGAUUCGCUGCAAUGUGAGUUGCCGCUUAGUUAUCGCAAAACAGUUUGGCUGGUUCAGGGUGUUUAACAUGCAAGUCACUUAAAAGAUAUCUCAGCCAAGUAAGUUCACAAGUAACGACUGUCAUUGCUCGAUAUUCUGCUUCGGCAGAUGACUGUGACACAGUGGGUUGCUUUUUGCUUUUCCUAGAAAUCAAGGAACUUCCCAAUAACACACAAUAACCUGUAAUUGACCUUCUUGUAGCUUGACAGCCAGCCCAAUCGGCAUCACAAUAAGCCGUGAGUUUUAAAGAACUAUGUGUGGGAAAAAGGAGGCCUUGACCUGGUGCAUUCUUCAAGUAACGAAUUAGGGAAGAACUGCAUCAAGGUGAGGUCUUCUUGGAAGCUGCAUGAACUGAUUGAGAGUAACAACUGAGUAUUUGAUUUCCGGUCGCGUGAUUGUUAGAUAAAUCAACUUCCCAACAAGUCGACGAUAUCACAUUGGAUCAUGAAGAGCAUCACCAUCCAUUGGAUUAAGUUUCAAGGUCUACUCUUAGGAAUUUUGCAUGUUUUGCACCAAGUAAGCCGGCGUAAAAUGAUCGCAAUAAAGAUUGUGCUUCAGAUUUAAAAGUCAUAAGAUGAACCCAUGUAAAGCGUGAAAAAUUGUCUACAAUAGUAAGAAAAUACUUUGCUCCAGAAAGAGAAUUUAUUUUAUUAGGUCCCCAUAUAUCAGAAUGGAGUAAGUCAAAAGGUGCAAAUGAUGAAAUUGAACUAGAAGGAAAAGGUAAACGAGUUUGCUUUGCUAAUGGGCAAACCUCGCAUACAUGUUUGUUAUCAAAACUUAUUUCGAGUAUGGAUUUUGACAAUACUUGGUGGGGUGUGGUAGACGGAUGCCCAAGUCGUUGAUACCAAAGACUAGAGACAUUGUUGACGUGAGGUGCAAGGUGCGGAUUCUGAUGUGAUGAAAGGUAGUAAAGGCCGUUAUAUUGCUUGCCCAGGCCAAUCAUACUCUUCAUGUCCACAUCCUGAAUAACACAAAAAUCCGAAAAGAAAGUUACUGUACAAUUCAACACUUUAGUAAGUUUGCUUAUGGACAAUAAAUUUAUCCUGAAUUUUGGCACAUGUAACACUCCAUCAAGUUUCAAUUCUUCAGAUAAUUGGUAGGAACCAACAUAAUUAAUUGGUGCUGUUCUACCAUUAGGUAAGUUCACAAAAUCAUGUUGAUGAAUUGGAUUUAUAGGUUGUAGAUGGCACGUAUGAUAUGUUGCUCCACUAUCUAUAAUCCAAUAUAAAGUUGUGGGCGAAUUUUGUUUACCUGUGGCAUUUGCAAAGGCAUUAGCAUUCAUUUUGUUCAACAUGGCCAUAAUUUGAUUGUAUUCCUCAGUUGUGAAUGUUGGGCCUUCUUGUUUGAUUGGCUGCACUUUUUGAGCAUCUUCUUGACUAAUGCUGGAAUUAUUUGUUGUAGCCCUCAUAUUCUUCGGCUGGAUGUUUUUACCAUGAAAUUUGUGGCCAACUGGGAAACCAUUCAAGUAGUAAUAGUACUCCACCAUAUGUCCCUCUUGAUCGCAAUACAUGCAUUUGGAUGUCUUUCGGGAUGCUCCUCCAGUGCGAGAAGUGAUUUCACGUGAGCUACUGCCCUUAAAUGGUUUGCCUGAUUAAUUUACAGCCAUGGCUUGAAAAUUGCCGUAGGUUCCUUCAUGGUGUGAGGCGACGUCGAGUUGUCGUUCAUGUUGCAAGGUUAUGGAAAAGGCCUUUCGAGUAUCCGGCAGUGGACUCAUCAUUAAUAUGAUUCCUCUAACUGCAGCAUAGGUUUCAUUUAAUCCCAAAAGAAAUUGCAUAAGUAUCUCCUUUUCCAUUCUUUCAUUGACUUUCUUCUGUCCUCCACAUGUACAGGUAAAUGGUUCCUGAUAGAAUGCUAGUUCAUCCCAUAAAGCUUUUUUUUUUUUGUUGAAGUAGACGGAGAUUGAAUCUGAAUUUUGUCGGUGUUCAACAAUUUCUUGCUGAAUUUGGUAAAUUCUUGAUUCAUUCCCUUGUGAAAACCGAUCAUAAGGAUCUUUCCAUACAGUCGAUGCCGAAUCCAUGUAGAUUACGUUGGAAGCAAUGUCUGGACUCACAGAAUUCAGGAUCCAUGAUAAUACCAUAUCGUUGCAAUGUUGCCAAGAAUGAAAAGUUUUAUUUGUGGGUGACGGCAUCUCGAUGGAUCCGUCGAUGAGCCCGAUCUUAUUCUUUGCACUAAGACCAAUGCGCAUGGCUCGACUCCAUUGUCCGUAGUUGUGUGGUUCAAGGACUUUGGAAACCAAGAUGAGGCUCAGAUUAUCCGAACUGUGUAGAGUGAGUGGAUUCUCAUUCAUGGUGAGGCUUGAAUUUUCUAAACCAUGUUGGGUGGUGGAAUUCUCAUUUAUGAUUUCUGUGUUGUCAGCCAUUUAAUUUGAUGUGGUUGCGGGAGGUGUUUUUGGUUUAUGGAGUCACCAAGAUCUGUGCUCUGAUACCAUGUAAAAAUGGUUCUGUAGAUCGAUAUGUUUAAAGAGUAAUAUUACAAGGAAUUAUAUACAUAAGAUUUGUAUCUAUUCUGGGAAAAUGAAAUCAGUAAAAUGUAAUUAAUCUUCCAUAAUUUGUCUAAUUCCUUUAAUUUAUCAAUUAACAAUGUUAACAGAUUUGUAUCCGUUAAUAGUUUGUUCAUUGAAUCUACUGUUCAAGAUAUCUAAAAGAUACCGUUGCUACCUAUCAAUUGGCAUUAUUCGAGAAGUACAAAAAGUUCUGUUCUGCUCUGCUCUACUAAAAUUUGUUAUCUUGGAGUUCAAUGUCAUACAACACAAUUAAGAAUACUACUGUAGAACAUUUGUCAAGUUUUGCAUGAUUCAAGACUUUCAGAGGUCAAUUCUACUAAAUUAUGUAAAUUAUCUACUUAUUGUAAAACGAGUAGCAUGAUCAUUUAUAUGCAAGUAUGCAUGGUUCUUGAGUUAAAAUAAAAAAGUUAAGUGACUAAAUCUUCAAUAAAAGUUAAGUUGACUUACUUGUAAGCUUUUACAGAAAUAUUCCCACGUGAUAUCACUGAUCUUCGGCUGGAGGUUCUGGAGGGUAAAUGUUAAGCUUAAAUCCACUGCCUUUUGUGCUUUGCUGGUCUUCAAAGUUUUUUUUAAGCAGUUCAAUUUUUCUGGCAGAAGCAGCUGCUGAUUUGUUGGUACAGUGCAAGUCCAUUAUCUGAAGGCUUGAAAUGUCACCAAGGCCUGAUGGCACUUCGUAGAGUUCAGUGCAGUGUUUAAGAUAAAGACGCCUAAGUCUUGGGAAAUGUACUGCUGAAGCACUCCAAGAAACUAAAUCAGUCUUUCCAAUAUGCAAGACUCUGAGAGCCCGAAAACCUCCCUCCUCUGGCUGCCACAAUUUUCCCGCAAACGCAUUUUCUUUCAACUUGAGAAUCUCAAGGUUUUCCAAUUUUCCUAGUGUAGACAUGUGCUCCCAAUCUAGCAGAGUGUCUGAUAGUGUUAGCUUCUUCAGUUUCGGAGGAAAUUUGUACGCUUGUGGUAGGCUAACUAGUUUGCUUUCGCAAGAUGGCCGAGGAUAUACAUCAUUCAAUAGCUUCAAAUUUUCAAGAUUAACCAAUUUUUUGCCAAGGCUAUCGAACAAAAUAGUUCCACCCUUGCCCUCCAGAAGCUUAGAUAAUUGGCCACGAAUACCCAAUUUCUUAAGGUUUGGAGCUGCAGCAAAGACGUCUUCAGAACAACUCUCAGGUGAUAUUGUAGAAAGUAUUACCAGGUUUCCACUUUUCAAAGAGUCUUCUUCACUAUUUCUUUUUUUACUGGUAAAGGGGCCUGCCAGAAGUUUCGAUAAGUCUCCUUUACUUUUGCCUGUUUUGAGCAAAGAUGUGGAAGCAUUUACUUCAAGAUGCCUCAGUUGAAUCAUCUUCCAUAUGUCUGCUUUGAUUUCAAGGGUGUGUGUUGAUGUCACAACUAUGAGAGUUUGCAAGUUCUUGAGUUUGGAAAUAGUUUCUGGAAGGAUGGCAAUGGUAAUGGAGAGAACAAGGUACCUCAAAUGAAUCAGAAGAGUUAGGUCGGUAGGAAAUUUCUUGAAAGUUAUGGGUUUGCCGUCUAACACCCUGAGCAACAUAAAGUGUUUAAGGAUGGAAGAAAUGAGAUUAAGUGGCAAUGUAAUGUCUUCAGGGGAGAAACACAAUAAAGACCGAACAUAAAAACCAAAUUGUUCAGAAGGGAGAAUGUCCAAAACGUGGGAAUGAAUGCCAAGGCGGCGGUACUUUUUGAAGGGAAGGAUAGGGGCAGAUGAAUUGGAACAUUGAUUGAAAUGUUUAGUCUCAUGGAAAAAAUUUUGUUUUGCAGCUUCCUUCUUGCAAAAGUCAUGAAUCAUAUCAUGCACAUGGCAUAUUUUAACUUUACCAUCUGAUCUUCGUUUUCCCACGAUUACUAAAUUCCUGUUGACAAGAUCCUCCAAGUACUCCUCUGCAAUAUCUUCCAAGUUCAAAUUGUGUUCUUCUUUCUCUAUGAGUCCUUCAGCAAUCCACAAGCGAACCAGUUUCGACAUUGGGAUCUGGAAGUCUUCUGGGAACAUUCCAAAGUAGAGAAAACAUGCUCUCAAGUGAUGAGGUAAGUUGUUGAAACUUAGUGCUAUAAAUUUGUCCAUGCGUCUCUCCCGGUCUAAGGCUAAAUAUGCAUUCACCCUUCCUUUAACCUUUUCCCACCAAUGAAUUUCGGUACCUCUUUCUAGUAAAAUUCCUCCAAUUACCACUAUUGCGAGCGGUAAUCCCAAACAUUGUUUGGCUAUAAUUUGUCCAUGUUCUAUCAGCUCCUCGGGGCACUGCUUUGAGCCUAGUGCUUUUUUUUGGAGUAAAGUCCAACUUUCUUCCUCAGUUAAAAAACGCAAGCAAUGAGGAUCCCUGUUCGGGUUGGCAUGCUGACCCACACUCAAUAUACGACUGGUCAAUAAAAUUCUACUCCGAUUCUUGUUAUUGGGAAAAGCCAUUUUGAGAUCACGCCACACGUCAUCAUUCCAAACAUCAUCCAUGACUAUCAAAUAUUUUUCUUUCUCCAGAAUUCCUCGAAGUUUAUUAGCCAAAUUUUCGACACUCAUCUUAUACAUAUUAUCGUUGACAUCACUAUCGCUAAGCUUGCAUAAAAUAUUGAGGAACACUUCCUUUAUAUUACAUUCUUGAGAAACAUAAACCCAAGCCCGACUAUAGAAUUCAUAUUCAAUUGUGGAAUCGCAAUAAACUUUUUUAGCCAGAGUUGUUUUACCGAGUCCAGCCAUACCAAUGAUUGAGAUAACUUCUAGGUCCUCCGAUCCUGUAGUGAGAAGUUUGAUUAUUUCUUCUGCCUCAUCUUGAAAGCCCACCACAUUUUCUUCCUCUACAACGGGAGCCUGUGUUAUGGUGAAUGGUUAGAUCAGAAGCUUGGGUGCCAAUAAUUAAAUGACACAGAAAUUAGAAUGCAUCAACGGAUCUUCACAACAAAAUAUUCUCGAAAUAGUAUAAAUGUUAUGUCCAUAGGCUAAUCUGUACCUAUUGUAAGCCCCUGUUUGACAAAACUUUUUGAGAUUAUGAGAUGUGGGUGUGAUUAAAAGUUAAGUUCAAUCAACUUAUAAUCUCAAAAAACUUCGUCGAACAGAGAUUAGAUCUCAAAAUGAGAAUAAAUAUAUUACCUCUCCCUACUGAGCUUCUUUCAGAUCUAAGAAUACAAUUAACGAAGCUACUUCAACUAAUGUAGUUUAUGAAUUAAUUUCAACGGAACCACAAUUUUCACCAACUUUAUCAAGAUCUAUUAAAAAUCUGAUUUUUAGCUACCCCAAAUAAGGUCUUAAUUAGUAUUAUACCUUUCUCUCUAUUGUACUUCUUUCAGAUCCCUCCCCAUGCUGCAGUGCAGGAAAGACAGCCCUCUCCUUUUCAUACAUAUCCCUCACAUCUUUCAUGAUGGAUUUAACAUCUAGGGCCACUUUUCGAAGAUUUGCCCCGUAAUCGAGUAUAUUUAUAGCUCUCGAUAAGUAACUCCGGGCCCUGUGAUCAGAUGUAAAGGAAACAAAUAGUUCCACAGCGUCUUCUGCUUCAUAAACCACCUCUCUGGUUUGUCUCACCAUUGUUUUCAUACGUUCAUUGCUAUUGCGCGUUUCUGUUGAGUCCUUGAGGAAAGCUGUCAAAUACUCCAACUCACUGUACAGAGAUUCUACAUCACCCUUCACGUUACAAAUCAGAUCGGCGUUGUAACGAAGUAGCUGGUAUAGUUUUUCUAGCAGAAAUGUACCAGCUGCAUCUGCCAUUUGGCUUUGCUUAAACGAUAAAAGUGGGCUGCUUCUUAGCUUUUCAAUUUUUUCCUUUUUGGCAGUAUGAACAGUGGGAAGAGAGAAAGAUCGAAGAAUGAAGUGAGAAAAAGCCGUUAGUUUUCUGCUUUAUCUUUAGGAAGGGCCCCCUGUUUGGACAGGGCCUGUCCAAGGAGAAUUAUCCCUUUAGGAAUCUCUGGUCGGGCUCAAUUAUUAUUAUUAUUAUUAUUUUAUUUUAUUUUAUUUUUUAAGUUAAUCAAAUAAGUACCUAAUGAAUUUUCUUCCUGUCAUCACUUGCUCAUCCAAAAUAUAUAAUUAUGAAAUACUCACUGAAUUAUUCCCAUCCAUCAUUGGAGCCAUUACUGCUGGCAAAAAAUCCACAUUAUAAUUCGGACCAAAGCGGAAGAUGUUGCCGGCUUAAUUCAAUACCAAGUUGUUGAAAAAAUAAGAAAUUAAUCCACAGCAUGAAAUGAUUGAUCACGAAAAUACAAGAACGAAUAAUUUGCAGAAAAUAGAGAUUUUAUUAUAAUAUGAAGAAAAAAUACAAAUGUUUUAUAUUUAUAAUUUGUCUAACUUGUAAUAAGGUUAAACAACCCAACUAAAUUGUAGAGAAUGGUCAAAUAUAUAUAUGGAGCAAUCUAAGCCCUAGAAGUAAAGUUGUAGAUGAAAUAGAAUGCUCAAAAAUCUUCGUAUAUUGAUCUCUUUAAAUCCAACACCAAUUCCAACUCCCAAUAUGACUUUCAAAUAGAAUUUCAAUUAAAAUUUGUCAAAUAGACUUUAAAUAAGAUUCCAAAAAUAUUUCAAAUAGAAUUUUUGUUAAUAUGCACUUUAAUUAGAACUCUCAAUUAUCUUCAACAAAGUAAUCAGGUCAUACCCAAAUUCUAACAAUCUUCAUCUUGAUACGAAUUCCACUGCAAUGAACAAAACUUAAAAAAAAAAAAAAAAAAAAAAAAAAAUUCUCCACUUGGAGACAAAUUUUCCACUGCAAAAAAUAAAUUUGAACUCUUCAAAGAAUAUACAAACGAUCUUCUCCAUCAACAAUUCCAAUUGAAAAUAUUCUCCAACUUUGCUACCUGAACUACGGCAAAACUCAAUAACUAAGUAUUAACAAAAUUCCAAGAAAAAACUUUGGACACAAAAGUUGCUUGAAUCAACAAAAUAAAAAAAUGUGAUUAAUAAUAACCAAACUAGGCAGUAACAAAAUCACAGCCGAAUGCAUCAAAAGAUUGAUUUUGAUUAGAAUCAACACACUUAACCGCAUUCAAACCAUCAACAGAAUUAGUAGAAUUGUACCUAUAUGGAUUCUUACUACCAAAAUUUGGUCUAUUUUCUGGCAAUUGAAUAUGAUGACAUCGUCGAUAAUAGUGGCAAGACGGAUUUACUCAUAUCUUUAAAAUGCAACUGAGAUGUAUUCUUAAAAUAAGGCCCCAAAUUAGGUUCCAAUGAUACAGAAGCCAACUCUAAAUCCACUUGGGUUCUUAAAAUAUGUUGAUUACUCAAAGAUUAUGUAACACCCUGAAAGAUAUAGAAAUGGGAUUUUCUAUAUCCUAUCAACACAACACGGGCUCCCUCGAUAACCUUCAGAACUCCACUUUCAACCGUGUACCUGUAUCCUUUUGAAUUAAGAGUACUUAAGGAGAUAAGAUAAAUCUUCAGAUCUAGAACGUGUCUCACUGCAUCAAGGAUGCAAGUGUUAUCCGAAAUGAUUAGGUAUAAAGCGUCUGUAGGUGGCUUUUUAAGUCCGCCGUCAAAUCCCAGGGCUCAACCCUGGACAGGUGGUGGAAUCUCGAGACGUUCUUCGAACUCAUCAUAGACUUUAUUGAGAUAGGUGAAAAUCCCUCUCUCAGAACCGUAUAUGAGACUUUCAUCUCGUACAGUUCAAGCAAAAACACCCAAAUACUAGUUGCAACGGAUAUGUAAUGAGUCCGAAUAAAUAUGUUUUCGAACCUUCUCUUUAAAAUUAAAAGUGGAUGUUCCUGCGCGAAUCUCAUCAAUCUAGUCCCAACACACUUGAUGUUAAGAAAAGAUCUCUUGUAGGAAAGUUGGCUAGAAAUUUCUUGGUUACAUUUCUUUAUGUUAUUUGUACCAGUAACCGGUUUAUGGAUGAGUGCUUUUGGAGUAGUCGGUCUGGCCUUGAACCUACGCGCCUAUGACUUCGUUUCUCAAGGAAUUCGUGCAGUGUUUUAACCAUCUCAUCAAACAUCUUUAUUCUGACCCAACCAAUACCAGUUAUUUGACAAUGUGUGUUACUAUCGAUUAUCACAACAUAUUUUGAAACUUCUUCAUAUGUUGAAAACAUUUCCUGAUUGCAUAACAUAUGAAAAAUACAAGUUGUAUCAAGAAUUCAAUCCUCGUCAGGUCUGUAAUUGUAGUCAGAAAUAAAUAAAAAUUCUCCAUCACUGUGAAAAGUUUCAACAAUGGCUUCACCUGAAGUAUAUAAUUGCUUUCCCAUCUGAAAAGUUACAGCCAAAUUUUCUCUAUUACGCUACUUAUAGCAAUCCUUAAUUAAGUACCUCCGAUCCUUGCAAUAAAUUUUGAAGUUAGACCUUAAUUUGCCCCUUGCUCAACCACCAUCAAGAACAAGGCCAUCUCUAUGAAUCUCAACAAUAUGCUUCAUCUUCUUCUUUUAAAAAUAGAGCAUCAUAAACUUUUUCAAUGGUGAGAUCACAACUAUAUAAAAGCAUGUCUUUAAACAACAAUAUGAAACAUGCAAAAAACACAACAAAAUCAAUCUCAUAUAAAUGAGCAAUGCUCACCUCUUAAUUUGCCACACCGAAAAUCUCGUACUGCGAUCCAAUAACGGAAUAUUAUACUUCAUUGUUGCUAUCACGAAAACCUCGAUCUUCUCAAAAAUUUCAACACCAAAAGGCUCUAAUAACAUCUAUUAUAAUCUGGACCAAAGCGAAAGAUGAUACUGGAUUAAUCCAAUACCAAUUUGUUGGAGAAAAUAAGAUAUUAAGCAACAAUAUAAAGUAAUUGAUAACAAAAACACAAAAAUAAAAUAAUUUGUAGAAAAUGGAGAUUUUAUUAUAAUAUAGAGAAAAAAUACAAAGAUUUUGUGUUUAUAAUUUGUCUAACUUGUAAUAAGGCUAAACAACCCAACUAAAAUUGUAUAGAAGAGCCAAAUAUAGAUAUUUCACGUAUAAUUGUAUGUGAAAUAGAAUGUCCAAAAAUUUUCUUAUUUUGAUCUCUUUAAGUCCAAUACAAAUUCCAACUCCCAAUAGAGUUUCUAAGUAGAACUUCAACUAGAAUUCGUCAAAUAGACUUCGAAUAAGAUUCCAGAAGCUAACCGAUUAGAAUUCCUUUUAAUGUACAUUUUAAUUAGAGCUCUCAAUUAUUUUCAACAAAGAAUUCGGGCCACACCCAAAUUCUAACACCACAUGACGGAUUAAAUAUAAUGUGGCAACAAACGGAGUUAAUGGAGGACACAGAAGAUUAAACAAAGCAUUGAAUUGAUUCGCAAUUUCACUUUCUGUUAAUAAAUAAGUUUGUUUUGUUUUCUCACUCCUAAAACAAACUACCAUCUCAAAAUUCCAAUUGAAUUGCAUAUAACAAAAUCAGGUCCCCAAUUGAAACCUAACUCUAGGAAGAACCAAAUUCUUCAAUUCAUCAUGAAAAACUCUUCAUGCCACAGCUUGUUUGAAGUUGUGAAAUUGCCCUCACUGAAUUUUCAGAAUUUUCCUUUUUUUUUCCCUCCAUUAUUUCGGUUACUUUCUCCUUCAAAAUUCACUACCAAAAAAAAAAAAAUAAAUAAAUAAAUAAAAUAAAUAAAAAUUGCAUACCAAUAAAAAUGGUCGCCAAAAGAGUAUCCUUGUCGCUGAAGACGUUUAGCGUCCAAUUAAUUGUGAUCGGUGAGUGGUUGCUAAUACACCAUCGGUGAAUGUUUUCUGCGACUAAUAUGUGUGGUCGCUAAACAUUUAACAUUCAGUGACGAAAUUUUGGUCGCUACAUGGUUCGGUUUUGGUGUCUAGUAAAAGUGAAAAAUCGGUCAACAUCUAUAGUGACCAAUAUACCGUAGUUGCUAAUAUAUAACUUCCAGCGACCAACAAAUUGGAUACAUACGAUGACCAACCAUUGCUUGGUUGUUUAAAUCAUACUGACCAGCGACCACAUUUAAUGGUUGCUGAUAAAUCCAAAACAACGCAAAAAGAUAUGUGACAUUUGCCGGCCAAGUUAUUCAAUAACCAAGUUAGGUGUGGUAGUUGAAACCAAAUAGCAACCAUAAGGUAGUCGCUGAAGCUACCUUUUUUGCAGGAAAAAUGUGAUUUUUUUCCCUCCACAAUCUUCAAUAACCAACGGAAUGUAUGGUCCCUAUCCUUGAUACUCUGAAUCGGCAACCAAGUUUUGGUCGCUAAAGAGUACAUAUAUAUAUUAGUUCCAUUUUAACAGACUAAAAUUGUUACCAACCAAUUUUUGGUCGGUGAUAGUGUCCUAUAGCAGCCUCAUUUGAUUGGUUGCUAAAGCUUUGGUCAGUAGAGCCCAAUUUUCUUUUGUUUUUUUCCAGUUAGCUUAAUCAUCAAUUUCCUGUGGAGAAAAUGAAACCUUACUCAAUGUUGCAGUGGAAAUUACAAAACAAAGAAUGCUAUAGAAAGGGACAAAGCUCGCUGUCUUUUAACCACCAAACACAGAUGCAGUAUUCCGUUUUAAUCAACUACAAGCAGUAGAAUAAUAUUAAACCCAGAUGCAUUGGAUCGAUGCGUUCGGUAGUGUUAAUAGUUCAAGGGUCUUAUAUAGAAUCCUGUCAAUUUUGUUGUCUUAAAUGAUGGUCCAAGUUGCCAACUAUCUAUUGUUGUACAAAUAACUACUGUGAAAGUGCCCCCCGGGGCAUAGUUUAGUGGUGCAAAGAACAGAAGUGAGUUUAUCUCACGCCUUGUUGGCACCCAUAGUGUGAGGGUUCGAUUCCUGAAAUAUGGAAUUGGACUCCUUAUAGGCGCAGUAUACAGGCAGCUCUUGUUCCUUGGUCUGUUGGGGCAUAUCUCUCGAUUUACCUCCCUCACAAAGUUUAAGGGGCGGGACGGUGAGGGCCCUCAAGGUUGGGGUUCAACCUUUACAAAUAACUACUGUGAAAGUUCUCGUAAUAGGUGAAUAUAAAAGUGGUAAUUCUGCUUCUUUUGGCUUCUUUACAGAGCUUGGAGUAAACUAAACAAUGGCUUAUCUUCCCUUUUUAUGUGGUGGAUUUUAUUCAAAGAGCUCGUGAGCAGUAGAGUUUUCAAAGCUCUUCGAGCCAAAAACUAUGCUGCAUUGGCAUUUGUGAAAUUUCCAGAUAGAUUGUAGGAUGUCCAAACCUAGGAUUGCCAAGGGGAUGAAGAUUUGUCUGAUUUGAAAUCGUUUUCCCAUUUAACAUGUUUUUGGUUACUUAGAAAAUAAUAAUUUUAGAUGAGGCAUAUAUAAUUCAUAUAUUUCAUUUAUCACGUCAUUUUUCAUCCGUCAUAUGGAAUUUUUUGCUUAGUUAGAGGAAAUUGACUCUAGUGAUGGAAGUGAGCAUUUGGUAACCAUUUAUUUUUCGAUGAGUAAGUUAUAGCUAUAUAUAAAAUUUAAAGGGUUUUGCUAGGCCUUGUCACUUUGGGGGCAUCUGACAUACGCCCAACCAAUAGGAGGCUCAUGAUUCGUUCAGGGCCCAUGUGGCCUGGACAAAUAAGAAAACCCAAAUUCAGAUCAUUGUACAGAUUCCACCUGACCCUUCACGUUGAAUCAGAUUUGCGUUGUAACGAAGCAGCUGUUUCAAGUUUUCUAGCAGAAAUUCUACAAUAGCAUCGGACAUUAUUUCGCCGAUUAAUUCUCGAUUGAAAGGAAAAUCUAACUAUAUGUUGUAGCUAUACAUGGUGUCAAGAGAAGAUGAAAAGGCUUGAAGAAAGAGCUCAGAAAAAGCUUUUAUAUUUUCAGGAAAGUGCAGAGGAAAUUGCUUAUGGAAACGAGUUGUUGAUGUAACUUGAGAGACCAAGUCAUUGUAUAAUCUUUUAUUCUGAACCCACUUGCCAACAAAUAAAUUAAAAGCAAAUGACAGAUAAGAAUUGCAAUAAUUUAAAUUAAAGGUGUGUGUUCAUUCGUCGAGUUGAAAAAAUUGUAAAAGGUCACGGGCCCGCCUGCAUAAAUGAGGAUUAAAGUAACAUUUGCUUCGAAAUUACUGGGAAGGUGAAGUGGGAACGGAAACUUAUUCAAAAUGCUAUAACACACACACGGAAAGGCCGAAUGACUCGCUACUUAUCAUAUCCACCUCCAUCCCAACUCCCAAAACACGUCGCUCCCCUAUCUGCCACCCCAACUAGGAGUGAGCGACAGUGCGAAUAAUUCAUCAUUUUAUAUUUAUUGCUAAAAAGUCACGCUUGUAUUGGUAUUCGAAGCAAUUUUGUAUUUACUGUAUUUUAUUCAUAGUGUCAAUAUUUUUAUUUAUUGGUACCAUUAAAUAUAGGUGCAAUCGAGGAAGCAACACAACUACACGAGCAAGAAUUAACCCCAAGGGCUAAUUAACCUACUGUCGGCAUUAGCGGAAUCAAAGGAUAUAACUCGAAGCAUAUUGAGUCGGAAUGGGAUCGGUUGUUUUCACAUCUCACCGUAGUGUCGGGUUUGUGAAGAUUUCCGAUUGAUGAACAAGAAGGAAAAUGAAAAUCCUUUUUUUUUUUUUUUUUUUUUUUUUUACUCAUCCUCGGCUACGUGUCUUUUGGACCCUUCGCCCGACCGCCAUCAGUGGGAGCAAGUUAAAUUCUAAUCUAAGCUCAAUGCUCAAUUAAUCAAAUCUUGUUGAAGAGACUACAAUUAUUAUAUACUAUUUCCAUGACAUUUACAAAACGUGAAUAUCUUAUUUUUAAAUUAGGCAUUUUAUUUAAUGCGUGUUUAACUAAAUUUACUUAUGGUAAUUAAGUAAAUUUUAUAAUAGAAAAUUUGGAUUGAUCAAUCUAAAAAUUACUUAUUUUAAUAGUUAAAGACAUUAUACACCACAUGCCUUGCUAAGCUUAAAAAUAAUUAAUUUUUUAUUCCUACAUAUGUUUUCAUAUAUUACCUAUUCAUACUUAUAAGAAAAAAUUAUUUAUUUAUAAAUUAAUAUGUAUAUUCUUGAAACUAAGCAACAUAUGAACAUGAAUUAAAUAUAAUUUCUUUGGACUCUCAUAAUUCUUAGUUGAUUUUUCUGUUUAGAUGUGAUUUCUCAUCACUAUGAAAUGAAGUAAUAUAAAAGUUUGUUGUUCAUACCAAAUAGCAUUUUGGGACAAUAACAUAUAGUGAUGUAUUAUUGAUUGCGUUUUUUGACCAAAACUUUCAAGUUUUUGAAUUACUGUUUGUCAAAUUUAUUUAGAAUAGUAUUCAUUAGAUAAUUUCUUAGUUUUUCAAUGGUGGAUAUGUAUCCUUUGCUUAUUCCGAUCAUGGUUCGGUUAGUUUAUAUUUUUUAAUGUAAGCGUCGAUUUUUUAUUUGGUAAGAAAAUAUAAAAAGAUUUAGUGAGACAUUUUAGGGUGAUAACAUCGAGAGUUCUUUUAUUUCAUUGAGUGUUGUACACUCUGUCGCUAAUGUCAUGAAUUUAGCCUCUUGCGACGUGAGUUCAUCCGAAAAUUUUUAAAUAUCAGCUUAUCCUAACAUCAUUUUCUAGCUUUGCCUCUGUUGUACUGUCUACAGAAUCUAAAAGUAGGAGCAGUGGCGUGUUUAAAGACAAUUAGAAAGUUUAAGAGAGUAUAAUGGGCAUGGGAUACUCUUUUAUCUGUGAAUUCCGCUCGAUGCCAUUUAUUUCUUCAUUAAAAUAGUAAAUUAUUUGUUCACGGGACUAUAAAAGGAAUUAAAGGUUGAUUCCCUCAAUAAAAAAUUUUAAUCACAAGCUGAUAUUAUUUUAAUUGAUGAAAUUUCAUGACUUAAAACACUUGUAGUUUUAAAAGACUUGGUGAGAUCAAUAAUAAACUCUAUUGCCAUCAAGUAACAAGAUCAGUGAAAUCAAUAAUAAACUCCUUUGCCAUCAAGCUAUCUAUCGAUUUUGAUUUCUUUCAUAUACACAAAACUGAUAAAUUUUGGAACAGUUUUAAUGGCCUGAAGUUUUGGUAAUGCAUAUUAAUCAAGGUUCAUAUUGUUCCUAUUUAGGAGAGGUCAUAUUGUCAAUGUACUAGUAAAAGGGCUCUUUGAAACAGAAGACAUUGGUAAGUAGGCCAACCCCUACAUAAGUUGACAUUAGUCUAGAAGAGAAGCAUGCUACCUUUCGUUGAUCCAACUUCUCGAACUCGGAAGAAAGAAUCAUAAAAAGAGAUAAUUCCAUCAUUAACCUUACGAAAGUUUUUACUUUCUAUUAAAAGGAGAGAACUUCAAUUUAAAUGGACGCUUUUGUAUUGACUAAUGCACUUGUGCGUUCAGAUUGAUGAAUGAGAAUAUAAUAUAUAGAGUAGAGCAAAAUGCAAAGGCUAAGGAAAAUGCAAUACUAUAUUUUACAUAAUUCUUAGCAAGUUAGCCAUGGUUGCAACAUCAGAGUGUAAUUACAACAUAAAUUGGUUGUACUUAAAAAGUUAGUCGAAUUUACCUGUAAGUUACUUAUUUUGCAAACACGAUAAAGUUACAUUAUUUAAGAUAAAUAUAUGACCACCACAAUUUUAUUUAUUACACCACGUUAUAAACACACCACAAUUAAAACAUAUUUUGAUAAAUACAUCACAAGCAAUUUACAACUAAAACAUAACCCAAUCUAAAAUAUAAGAGGAAAAAUAUUUUAUUAUAUUUUAUAUUUCAGUGUCAAUAUUUUUAUAUAUUGGUACCAUUAAAAAUAGGUACAACCGGGGACAAGUCUUAACACGUUAAACUAUGACAUUUUAUUGAAAUAGUAAAUCAUUAUACAAAAAUUCCACCUGACCCUUCACGUCAAAAAUCAAAUUUGCAUUGUAAAGAAGCAGCUGUUUCAAGUUCUCUAGCAGAAAUUCUACAGCAGCAUCAAACAUUAUUUUGCCAAUUAAUUUCUUGAUUAAAAGGAAAAUCUAACUGGAUGUUGUAGCUAUACAUUGUGUCAAGUGAAGAGGAUAAAGCUUGUGGAUCAAUCAACAUUUGUCUUGCUUCCAGCGGCAAAGUGGAGGUUCGAAUCCUGGUGAGAACCUGCGGCCAGAUUUAUUUGAUAUGGAGCAAUCACUUUGGAGGAGGAUCUCUUGUGCGCAGAAGUGUACAGGCAGUGAAGGGAAUUUGUGAUCCAGUUGAGGCAUAACCCGCGAUUUACCCCUUCCAAGGUUCUAGGGGCAAGGGUCUUGGGGGUUCAGGAUUUAAUCUAGUGUAAAUUGGGAUACUUGGAUAUCAAAAAAAAAAAAAAGAUGAUGAAGCUUGAAGCUUGAAGAAAGAACUCAGAAAAAGCUUUGAUAUUUUCAGGAAAGUGCAGUGGAAAUUGCUUAUAGAAACGAAUUAUUGAUGCAACUUGAGAGACCAAGUCAUUGUAUAAUCUUUUAUUCUGAACCCACCUACCAAAUGACAAAUAAGAAUUGGAAUAAUUUAAAGGCGUGUGUUCACUGUUCAUUCGCUGAGUUGAAAGAAUUUUGAAAGGUCACGGGCCGGCCCACAUAAACACGGAAUAAAGUAACAGUUUCUUCGAAAUUACUGGGAAGGUGACAUGGGAACAUGAACUUAUUCAAAAUGUUAUUACAAAAAUAAAAAUAAAAAUAAAAAUAAAUAAAAAUGCUGAAUGAGUUGCUACUAAUCAUAUCAGCCUCAGUCCCAGCACAUGUCGCUCACCCAGCUACCACCCCAACAAGGAGUGCGCGAUGGUGUGAAUAAUUCCUCAUUUUAUAUUUAUUUCUAAAAAGUCACGCUUGUGCUGGUAUUUGAAGCAAUUUUGUAUUUAUUUUAUAGGAAAAAUUGUAGUCACGAUACAAAACUUUUCGUUUAUUAGAAGUUUUGAUCCAAACAUUUCAUUUGUGCUAUUGACGAUACCAAACUUUUAAAAAAAUUCACUUAAAGUCCAAAUGGAUGGCAACCGUUAAUUCAUUUGUUAGUUAAAUUAAAGUCAACAUUUUGACCAAAUUUUAAUUAAUUUUAAAAGGUUAAAAUAGUAAAAUUAUAUUUUUUUUAUAAAAAAUAGUUAAAAUAAAAAUCUAAGACACAAAUACACUUCAUUUUCUCCACAUACCCUACACACACCUAUCCCUAAAACCAAAACCAGGAACCAAAACCACGACUGCCACUCACCCCCACCACCUGCUGUCGCCACCGCCCAUGUCCAUCGCUACUCGACCUACACUUCAACAUUAUCCUCUCUCUGGAUGCCAAUUCCUAGAUUUUGCAAUAGUUGGGCUAGUUUUAUUUCAACUGUUGCGGCCAAUUUAUAAGCCUCUCAUUUAUCUCUAUAUCUAUUCCAACUAUUCAAAUUGAUUACCUAAUAAUUUCUCCAUCGAUUCCUUUGUUAUUCACUCAAUUUUGUGUUGAAAGAAAAAAUUUGUGAUAUUAUUCCAACUAUUCAAAAAGGUUAGAGAUGUUGAAUCCAUACUCAAAUUUGACUGGAGCCACCACGGCUUAUACACGACAUUUGAGGCUAUGGUAGGCGGUUGUGAUUUGUUGAUUUAUUACUAAAAUUCUUGAAAUUGGUGGGUUGUGAGAAUUCAUAGAUUCCAUUUAUUACGUCAUUUUUCAUCUGCCAUUUGAAAAUUUUUCCUCAACUAUAUAGACGAAAUUUACUUUGGUGAUGGAUGGAUAAAUUAACGAAUAAUUUAGUGAGUAUUCGAUAAUCAUUUAUUUUUCGAUGAGCAAACAGUAACAAUCGAUAAGAUUCAGCAGGCACGAAAAGCAUUUAAAUUAAAAAUAUAUGAAUAAUUAAAACUGCACUUGACGGGAACAUUUCUGCUCACUAUCGAAUCUCGUUGACUAACUGCCAAAUGCCGUGACCGACACGUCACAUUCACUGCUUUACCCUUGUUUGUUUCUCUCCCAAAAACAAAUCAGUUGGAGUAGAUUUGGAAGAAAACACAUAGCAAGAUUAUUUUUAUUUUUAUUUUAUUUAUAGAAGGAAUAGUGUUAUUUGCAAUAACUUAUUAUCAAAAUCGUCCUACGUGGUAUACAUAUAAUAGUUAGUAAUUUGCUAAAUAAGUCAAGAAAAACAACAUUAAAUCACAAACAAUUAUCUAGAAUGUCACGUAGAGAGACUAUCGCAAUGAGGGACAAUAAAUAUUAUUACUCUUAUAGAAGAAAUAUGACCGUUAGUUUAGGGAAUUUUGUCCAUUUCAUCGGACACUGUCAAAUUAGCAAGGUUCAUUACACGGCUUCUAUAUUCUCACUUUCCCAACAUUGCCCUUCUCUCAUGGCAUUGAAAAUUCAAUUUCAGCGGGCUUGUGAAAAUUGCACUCGAAACGAGACAGUGAUAUGACCAUGAACAUGACAGAGACAGACGGACCCGCAAGACUAGUCUAGGAAAAAGAAACAAGUGGGGACGGGUAUUUUUUUUCAUUUGGUAGACUUUAAUUUGAAAAAAUUAUAUUUUAAAUAAUACUUUUUAAAUAAUGCGUGGUUAAAAAAUUAAAAAUUUUUAAAUUAAUGCAUAAAAUAUUUUAUUAUGUAAAUGUAUAAUUAAAAUUUAGCAUGAGAAAAAAAUUAGGAUCCGUGUGAUUGCAAAGAUGAAAUUUGGGUGGAAAGAAAAUGAAUUUCAGGAAAUUGAAUUACCUAAAAAUUGUUUUCUUGAGAUUAUCAAUUUAUUGUGUUUGAUUGGUAUAAUUUUUACGUGAAAAAUUUUAAAAUAAAAGUAUUUUUUGGUACUCGUUUGAAUUUAUUUUAAUGAAAAUUGUCAAUUAAAGGGAUAAAAUUUACUGAUAUUGGGAUAGAAUUUGUUUCCAUUGUAAAAAAUAAAAAAAAUAAAAAAUAAAAAACACACACAAGAAAAUCAUCUAUAUUUUAGUGUUCCUUUGACUUUGUUAUAAUGGAAAUUGUCAAUUAAAGAGAAAUAUUUUUUUAAUAAUUCUUAUAAUUUGUUUCCAUUACAAAUUUUCCUAUGGUGAGAAUUAAUUUUCCUCAAUUACAUGGAAAAUGUCUAGGUAGCAUCCAAAGUUGGAAAAUGUUUUCCAUGAAAAAUAAAUCCUAUCAAAAACUACAAAAGUUGAAAAAUGAACUUGAUUUUCCAAAUUCCGUGGAAAACCUUUGGCUAUCAAACAUAGCCUAAUAGAUUAGAGUGAAAUGAAUUUUUAAUUUAGUUUCCAUUUGAGACUUAUGGCCUGUUUGGGGGUGAUUUUUCUUCCAAAAAAAUUGAUUUUUUUGACCAUUAUUUCACUAUUUCAGCCGUCAUUUUGACUUCUUCUCUCAUAGGUGAAUCCCACUUUUCUCCUAACGGUCAGAAAAUCAAUUCUCAAAAUUCCUCCCAAACAAGCUCUUAAUUGCGGUCACAAGUUGACAAGUAAAGAGGUGACUUCAUUUUUUACUUCUUACAAUCACAAGCUAAAAUUAGGCAUUCAGUCCGAAACUUUCUUCAAAACAGAUAUAGACAAGCAUUAAAUUUGCCAUUCAUUCGAUAUUCAUGGAUUUUUACAUAUUUACAAUUAUCAAAACACAGUUUUCUUAUCUACCAAAAUAUAUGCAGAAUACAUUUUUACAUUGUCGAUACCCAAAAAAUGCUGCCUUUUUUCAUCAAGUUUCAGGAAAGGAAAGCCAAAUAACUUUAGUGUUCAACAAUAUAAAAGUUAUCGUGUUAUCAUCUAGAUGGUUUGUAUGUUGUUGUCCGAGCUAAUAAACAGAGAAGAAAAUAUAUUAUAACUAAAUUAAUUUUAGUAUUCUUCGUAAUCCCGUCACAACCAAAUUAAAAAUUUCAUAGAGAAAAUAACGUAAACACCAUAAACCAAAGGGGGAAAAAAAAAAACUAAUUACAAAUAACACUUAUUCUCAUGAUCCUAUGUAUAAAAAAUCUACAUAUCUUUCUAUAGUUCUCUUGCAGUUCUCAUUUUUCAUUGAACAAUUCUCUAUUACUCUGAAUCUGCAAUGCUCUACGUCUUAAUUCCGUCACAUUAUCAGGGUCCUAGUUGAAAUGGUUCCUCCAAAAUUUGGGUUUGAAGCAAGAUUGACAUGUAGUUCAUCGUGACAGUCAAAGUGCAUUAGACUUGAGCAAGAAUGCUACUUAUCAUUCUUAGACGAAGCACAUUGAUAUGAGAUAUCAUUGACUACGACAGAUAGUAACAGAACAAUUGAUAUUGUUAGAGAAGAUUCAUACAGAGAAGAAUCUAACUGAUAUGAUGACAAAUGUUGUGAUCGGAGAAAAGCUUGAGCUUUACGUUGGAUUGGUCAGCAUGGAUUCUAACUAAUCUGGUAGAGGAUAAUCUCUUUUCUCAAUGGACUAGAGGGGGGAAAUUAUUAUAUGGGCUUGUCCAGCCCAUGAGGAAAAAGGCCAAUCCUCUCUGUUUUCUACUAGAUCAACAAAAGUGGCUACACACACACAUAUAUAUCCCUAGAAAAACCGUGGCUUUUAUGGUGUGAGAGAAAAUACAAAAGGUUGCCAAGAGAGAAAAAUUGUGACUACACAUUCAAAGGUCAAAAAGGGUUACUGCUGGGUAUAUAUAUACAUACACAAAACAUGAGAGGGAAGAGAGAGGUUGGAAGAGAAAAAAAUAAACAACGGCUACUGUAGAAGAAAGUAGGGAUUGCCAAAGAAAGUUCUUUUUGAUAAUGAAAAGUCAAAAUUUUUUUUAAGGAAAUUUUAUUGGGUGUCAAAAUUUGACUUUUCACUAUAAAAAAUGUCAUCUUUUAAAUUUUCUAUCAAAAAUGUCAAUUUGACUCUUUGAAUUAUUUGAACACCUUAUAUAUUAAUUUUCAAGCAGGGGCCUGCAAAUUUUGAAUUUGCACAAUAGGUCCCGUCUCCAAUCACCCAAAUCUGCUGCUGAAAAUUUGGACAACAUUUUUUUUUCUUUUACAGCGUAGCGGAGCCCGCUGACAGUUUCCAGUAGCUGCUGCUGCAAUACAGCAGUGGCGGCUGCGAGCGCCACUGUCUCUGUGGUUGCCGCAUUCCUUGUCGUCGUCCUAUGAGCGUCGCUGCCUCUGUGGCAGACGCGACGAUCGCUGUCGCACUCCUUGCGGGCCUUUACCCUCCUUCUUUCUUUCUUCCUUUUUUUUAUUAUUUAUUUAGGCCCAAAAUUUAUAAUCUUUUAAAAUCAAAAAUAGAUUUUUAAAAUUUAAAAUAAGGGUAAGUUGGAUAUUUUUCACAAAAAAAAAGUGACAUUUUUGAUAAAAUUAGGUGCACAUGCAAAUUUUUUGUGUAUUAUAAAAAAAAGUGACAUUUUUUAUAAUUCCCCUUUAUUCUUCUCUAUAUAAUACAAAUUGAGAUUUUCUCGAAAGUGUAUUUUGGGUACUCUAGAGGUGUAGUAUUCAAAAUGGGUUCUCACAAAAUUAAUUAAAUUGGAGAUUUGUGAUGAUAUAAAUUGUUGUCUUAGAAAUUAAUUAUUAUGGUUUUUCCAAAUUGAUGAGAAUUCAAGUUUUGGGGCAUAAACUUGAAUAUUGUAAUCUAUAUUUUUAUUAUAGUGGAUUUUGGCCGAAGUUGUCCCCGUGAUUUUUUUCCCUCUAUAGGAGGGUUUUUUCCAGGUAAAAACUUGGUGUUGUGUUUACUUAUUUUUACUUUGAUUAUUUACUUGCAUAUUUAAUCACCCUAGUUGAUUGUUUGGAUUGGUGAAUUAUUCAUACAAUAAGUGAAAUUGCCCAACACUAAUUAAUCUGAUGCACUGGAUCUAGCGUGAGAUCAAGUGACCUCACAAAAUGUCCUAAAUUUUAUUUUUAAAUAUAUACUUUUGCUUUAUCCUCGAGAGAUUAAGUAAAUAGAUGCAAUCCGCUUAAAAUUCAGCAAUAGGUGGACUAAUAAAGCAGGGAAUUAAUCUUCAAUCGUAUGAUCAUCAUGAAUAUAGAUUGACGGAGCUUGGAGGGAAUGCUUGUUCGUAGCUGCACCACUAUUGAUAAACACAUUGCCCACGUUUGGUCCCACAAAUUGAAUAAUUCUACUCAAACAAGGGCAUGUGACAGGAGCGACAGUCACAGUAGCACGGCCCCUCAUAAAUUAGGUAUAAAAAAUGUGUACCCUUUGACACUUUCCUCGACAAAUAUGUGGACGUGCUAUCCCCAUAAUUGAAGAAAUUAAAACUUUUCAUCAACCAUCUUUACCAGUAUACCAUGUUGAGCUGGUUUACUGUCUCCUCAAAGGUGAUCUUUUGGGCUAUUUUGAAUGGCAAACCAAUCAUAUGAAUGAAUUACCCAAAUGGUCACUGAACUUUAUAAAAGGUUUUCACGAGGUUACUGAAUUUUAAAAACCAUUCAAUUCAUAACUAAACUUUGUAAAAGAUUUUCACGGGAUCAUUGAACUUUAAAAAUCAUUCAAUUCAUCACUAAACUUUGCAAAAGAUUUCCCAUGGGUCACCAAACACUGUGGAAAUCUUUUGUUAAGUUCAGUAAUUCCAUGAAUUUUUUUUGCAAAGUUUAGUAUUGAAUUGAGUGAUUUUUAAAGUUCAGCGACUCCGUGAAAACUUUUUUCCCAAUCAUAGAUACGCCUUUCAAAGGAAUCAAUAAUUAUCAUACAAAACACUCAAAUUUAUGAACACAUGAUAGAAUUUGAAACUAAAAACCCUAAACCAAAUAAUAAUAAUAAUAAUAAAAUGUAUAUAAUUUACCUUUAAUCGACCCUUUAUAAGGGUAUUUCGUAAAAUGUGCAAAAAUUUGGGGAGAUUUCUUGGCUUUGCGAGGUAUUGCGUAAAUAUUUUCUGUCUUGAUAGAUUAGAAUAGAGUGUCCUGUUAUCAACAUUGGAGGUAUAUUGAUUACCUGAGCUGCACUGUAAAAGAUUGCCAUUAUGAUUAUGGAAUUUUUGGUUACAAUGAGUUCCUUAAUAAGACUAUAUUAAUUGGGUACCAACCUUCAUUUUCAUGUCAAAAUGUUGAUUAAAAUUUGGUCCCCUAUUGGGUCUUUUUCAAUAAGCGAAAUAAAUUUUUAUCUAUUUCACUCUUACAUUUAUAGAUUUAGAUUGCAAUUCUUUUUCUCUUCUGACUUUUAGUUAAUUUUGUUUCAACGUUCUCAAUAAAUUUAAAUAUUUGUUGCUUUUUUCGAGCUAAUUUACUAAAAAUCUCGAUUAUGGUUCGAAUAAAAAUCUCUCAUAAUCAUUUAGUAGAAUCUUUUACAAAAUUUCCAGGUACGCACAAUUUACAUGUUCUCUACAUUUUUAGGUUCUGUUUGGCAGGACUUUUACUUUUUAUAAAAUAGUUUUAUGAGGAAGCAGUCUUAGACUAGUUUUAUCCAACAGUUUUUCCAGCAAGACAAAACACUUCUAGAAAAACAUGUAAACAUAUUCAAAAGUAACUUCUUAAUUUCAGAAACAACUUUUGACUUUUAAAAAUUCUUGUCAAACGGACCAUUAGUGUAACUAUUGCCCCAUACUCCUGGACUCAGGUUUCUAAAACCUCCAUGCUUCUUUUAUAGCUCGAUUAAGGUCCGUUUGAUAGGACUUUUGAAAAGUCAAAAGUUUCUUCUGAACAUAUUUGUAUAAUUUUCUGCAAGUACUUUGUGUAACUAGAAGAACUUUUAGAGGAUGUUGGCCUAUGACAACUUGCUUAGGAAGCUCUUUUACAAGAAACGUCAGUAAAAGCCCUAUCAAACAUUCCGACUCAUGUCAAGAAACUAAGAAGGCCUAGAUAUCUAUUUUUUCUUUCUCAUGGUCGUUACAUAUAUACGUUGAUAAAAUAACAAGUGCUUAGACAAGGCUGCUAUCAUAUUGCCAAACAAAAGUGGAAUAGAACAAGAGAAUAAUAAAUGGAGUCUUUAUACGGUGACGCAAGUCGAAGAAACAAAAAAUUGCCAUUCGGACGUUCCCUAUGUGGAUGACCUUCAUAAUAUGUGGCUGAUGACUUCAUUGGAAACAGCUACUUCCUCAAACAAGCAAACACUUGAAUCCCAAGUUAGCAUUUUUUAAACUUCCUUUUCUGUUCCUUCCAAUGCUACAUAAUAUCGUGAAAUCACUACUUCAAAAAACAAACGAAUAUUUUACACCACGACAAGGCAUUGGUACGGCUAUGAUAUGCUCGGUAUUAUGUUGUAUAACUGCUGCUUAGUCGAAGGUCGAAGGUUACAAAUUGUUAUUAGCCAUGGUUUACUGGACAAGCCCGAAGAAAGGAUACCAAUGAGUAUAAUUUGGUUGGUUCCACAGUUUUUCCUCCUAGCUGGCCUCGAAUCAUAUUUUGAAGGAAGUAUAAAGCGUCUCUUUUCUUAUCAAAUUCCUCCAUCAAGCAUAAAAGUAUCUCAAUUAUUUCACGGAAGGAAUAUUGGGUCUAGGAAUUACGAAUGGUUUUCUAUCAGUUUAUUUAGCAGGAAAGCUCAGUGAGAGAGGAGGAAAACCAAAUUGGUUUCAGGACACUUUGAACAGGAGUCGUUUGGACAAUUACUAUUGGACUCUAGCUACAUUAGGUGCUGCAAAUUUUUUGUACAUUUUGGUUUUAAUUUGUAUUCGGAAUCCCAAGUCACGACAUGAGGAAGCCGACAUCCAUGGAGAAUUUCAUGUAGCUGAUAGCAGUGAUGAGAUUUAGAUGCUAUUGUCGACACAAGUGUCUAAGCCUAGACAGUAUCUACCUGAUAUUUGCUUGUAAUGAUAAAUGUUGUAUCUGCAAUUGGAUUAUGCUUUAUCUUGGAUGAUUUUAUUUUAUUUUUAAGUGGAAACAGUAUUUAAUAAUGAGAGUAUAACUAUCCAGAUCAUCUAAUGAAUUGGCUUUCAAAUUUACUUUUUUUUUUUUUUUUUUAUAGUAAAUAUGAUGAUAUUAGGGGACAACGCAGGAAACUUGACUAGGAUCCUAAAAACAGAUUUAGAGUUUACCAGAGGAGUGUAUGAUGAGUUGAGUCCUCCCACAAUAUGAGAGAUAAGUCC